Non-coding RNA from Camellia sinensis, 350 nucleotides. NCBI's taxonomy places the organism in Eukaryota, Viridiplantae, Streptophyta, Magnoliopsida, Ericales, Theaceae. The record is from RefSeq and is a predicted model, not a curated record.
ACCCAAACCUAAUUGUUUUGCUAGGUAUGUUUUUAUUUAUACAGGGGAGAGAGAGAGAGAGAGAAGAGUGGAGAGGGUGUGGUGUGAUGGGGGAUUCAAACCCUAGAAGAAGUGUGAGAUGUCCACACUGUGCAGGUCCUCUCGCAAAGGAGAUGGAAACAAGUGAUUGGACUCUUCCUCCCCUCAUUAGGGAUAGCUUUUCUAUGGUAUAGUACUAUCGUGUUGAAUAUUGAAAAGUGAGUAAGUCUACAAAAGGGAAAGGAAAAUGGCUAUUGUUAAUUAAGUGUCAAUAGAGUGGGCUGUCAUGUAUGUCAGUUGUGGAGUGUGGUGAUUGGUUCUGCCGUUGGUUG